This 314-nucleotide ribosomal RNA is filed under the name uncultured bacterium. RNAcentral's name for it is "bacterial SSU rRNA". It matches the Rfam family "Bacterial small subunit ribosomal RNA", at positions 32 to 327 of the family's 1533-position model. The record is from RNAcentral.
AAUCAACGCUGGCGGCGUGCCUAACACAUGCAAGUCGAACGAGAAGGUGACUUCGGUCACUGGAUAGUGGCGUCCGGGUGAGUAACACGUAGGUAAUCUACCUUCGGGUGGGGAAUAACGUCUCGAAAGAGACGCUAAUACCGCAUAAUGCAGCGGCACCUAAUGGUGAUUAGUUGUUAAAGCGGGGGAUCUUCGGACCUCGCGCCUGAAGAGGAGCCUGCGGCAGAUUAGCUAGUUGGUGAGGUAAUGGCUCACCAAGGCUUCGAUCUGUAGCUGGUCUGAGAGGACGGCCAGCCACACUGGCACUGACACAC